Molecule: transfer RNA, 72 nt
Filed under: uncultured bacterium
Lineage: Bacteria
Description: tRNA-Asn
Rfam family: tRNA
About the family: Transfer RNA (tRNA) molecules are approximately 80 nucleotides in length. Their secondary structure includes four short double-helical elements and three loops (D, anti-codon, and T loops).
Source: RNAcentral
UCUCUAUUAGUUCAACGGCAGAACGUUCGGCUGUUAACCGAAUGGUUGUUGGUUCGAAUCCAGCAUAGGGAG